CGGUCUCUAUCUAUCGUGGGCGUGGGAGUUUUGAGUGGUGCCGUCACUAGUACGAGAGGACCGUGAUGGACAGACCUCCGGUUUACCAGUUGUGCCGCCAGGCGCACCGCUGGGUAUCUGAGUCUGGAUUGGAUAAGCGCUGAAAGCAUCUAAGUGCGAAGCCAGCCGCAAGAUGAGAACUCCAUUGAGGGUCGUCA
Molecule: ribosomal RNA, 197 nt
Filed under: Prevotella sp.
Lineage: Bacteria; Pseudomonadati; Bacteroidota; Bacteroidia; Bacteroidales; Prevotellaceae
Description: partial 23S ribosomal RNA
Rfam family: Bacterial large subunit ribosomal RNA
Source: RNAcentral